Molecule: long non-coding RNA, 520 nt
Organism: Heterocephalus glaber (naked mole-rat)
Lineage: Eukaryota; Metazoa; Chordata; Mammalia; Rodentia; Bathyergidae
Source: Ensembl
CGCUGCCUCUCUGCAUUUCUCUUCCUGGUUGGUGUGAUAAGAGCAGCUUUCCUCUGCCCUGGAUCUUCCAUCACACCACUGACCAUGCAAGCUUCUAAUAUGUGAGCCAAAAUAAACUUCUGGUCCUUUAAGUUGCAGAUGUUCAGUAAUUUGUGCCAGUCACUAAGAGAGUGAUUAACACAGCUGUAUAGACCUGUCACGGUACAUUAACAAAGCAAAAAAGCCCUUGGAAGAUACUGCCACCUGGAUGUUGGACUGCACAGCUUCCCUAACAGAUUGUGUGUGAUUAUCUCCCAACAGCAAGAAGUUAUGGAGGAGAUCUCAUCUCCAGAGGAGGAGGAGAAAAAGCCAGAGGAAUCCUUCACUUCAACCUGCGGCAUUGCUAAGGAAUACAAUCUCUGUAAAUAAGAGAUUUCUCUGCUUUACACCAAUGACUACCUGAUGAGGAAACCGGGAGAAGAACUAUUAAGAAUUCUUCAAUAAAUAAUGCAACUCAUGAUUAAGGGUGGCUGAAAGAAAG